CCCUGCCUAAAGAGAGGAGAGAGAUGGAGAGAUGUGGAGAGAGAAAUGAGGGGAGAGUAAGAGGAGAGAGAGAGGAGAGAGAGAGAAGAGAAAAGAGUUGUACAGAUGGACCCGAUGCAGUGACUGACUGGCACGCAGACACACACUUUUUGUUUGCUGCACAUAAUCUGCCCAAUGACGCGUGACAGCCCACGUCCCCUCCCUUUAACUCUUUGCUGGGCUGGGCGCUCCCUCCGGCGCUGCCUGCCUGGAAGCGAUCUCUCCGGCCUGCCCGCGCCCCGCUGCCCCUGAGCGCCUGCCCCAAGUGGAAACGCCUCUCAGAGCGCGGCCCUGCCCGCCGCCUCCUAAAGCCUCGGCCCUCUGGGACUGCAGCCCUGGUCAGCCUCCCCACAUAAGUUCCUUCUGAUCGGACAGAGCCCCUUGCCUAGGAUUAAGCUGGGACUUGGAGAAAGAAGAGUUGCAAGAUCCUCAUAUACCAGGGAGGAAGGGGAGAAUUCUUCCUGAAUUUCCAGGUCCUGGCUCAUCCCCCCUCUAAUCAUAUCACCGAAGCACCACACACACACACACACACACACACACACACACGUAUAUUUACAUAUUCACACUGGAAGACAAGAGGAUGCCAAAGAAGCAGACAGACAGUGGAGAAUUUUUCCUAAACUUAUAUUUCCCACAGGGAGGUCUCUGGAAAGGGCUUAUGAGGAGACUGGGGGAGGCAGAGAGUAACUUCAUGGAGGGGUAUUGCAUUGUCUAGCCUCACCAUGGAGAGUAAGGAACUUUCUAAGGGAUAACUUAGAGCCAAGAAGAGGCAGACUUGCUGAGCUGAAUAAAGGUUUACAUGUAUGGGGAGGGGGCACUUUGUUUUUAAUAAAUAUACAUGGCAAUCCCAUUAUGGGCCUGUUCCUUAGCAAGGAUUACAGUGGGUUCAAUAGCUGAUAAAUGAAUUAAUCUUUCCCAGGCUCAUUCUGGGACAGCCAGAGAUGCAAAAGAUGGAUAAUCUUAUAGCCAGGGUCCCAACUGCUGGGAUCAUUACUCCUGACACAUUUUUCUCUCUUUCUCAAUCAAUGUUAACUGUUUUUCAUGCUGCUGCUACUACUGUAACUAUUGUCAUUAUAGUUAUAACCUACCUUUCUCAAGUUUAAAACU
Camelus dromedarius (Arabian camel) is the source of this 1146-nucleotide long non-coding RNA. RefSeq lists it as uncharacterized. The record is from RefSeq and is a predicted model, not a curated record. NCBI's taxonomy places the organism in Eukaryota, Metazoa, Chordata, Mammalia, Artiodactyla, Camelidae. The transcript is spliced from 3 exons.